CCUCCAGACGCAACGCGAGGGGUUCCCCCGGGAGCACCUCCUUCGGCGCCGGGGUUUCAGAGCUUGGGCCAAUAUUCCAGCGUCCUAAAUGUGUCCGGGAAACUGCCAGAAGCGGCGGAGCCGACAGCACGGUGCCGACGAGGACCACAGGCAGCUGAAGAAAUGGAAGUUCUGAGAAACUAAGGGGCUUCCCUGAUGCUUGCAGAUGAGGCAAGGACGGAUGGAGAAUCAGGCUUUGGACGCCACAGUGAUACCCCACGUGCACCUCUCCUGGGUGACCGUGGACUUCAGUAACGCCCAGCGCUGCCCAGACGGAGCACCGCUGACCACGGAGACACCAACACACGAUCAUCGAAACUUGGUUCUACCGUGGCUCGCUCUGCCCACGUUCUGGAGAGAGGCUGUCUUGUGGGACUCAGAGAUGACAGAGGGACAUUGAGGCCAAGUUCUGAGAGUGGCCCGUUCCAAGGAAUGGGACGUGGAACUAUCGUCCACCCAGCCCUGAAACUCUGGCCAUAGAAAGUGCUUAUGAUCCGUGCAGCUGGCAGCGGUGGCCUGGGGACUCGUGACCAUGUCCAUAUGCAGGCUCGAGGAAGGAAGGGCACCGAAGAGCCGGGGUGGUCAGCUGUGACUUGAACGAGGAAAGGAAAGUGAGCCGAAUCCCUGUGGCAUCCUCCAGAGAAGGUCUGACAAACAAGCAGGGACUAACCGUGAAAGAGCUCAGGGGGCUUCCCCGCGUCCACCGCCAGAAACCUCGAUCUCGGAUCUCCUCUUCCUCCCAUCCUCACGACAUGAUCCUGCCCAGAUCGCACACCGAAAACUCCCACCCCUUCCUCUCCCCCAGACAAGUGCUGUGGUUUCAGACACAGCUCCCCCCUCCCUUUUGGAGAAGUCAUUCCUUCUAAACUGUCGUCUGCCCGGAACUUUCUUCUCUGACCUCCUGGUUUGGAGAGCAAAACCCAGUUGUGUAGGAGUGUAUGGUCUCUGCCAUUGGAUCUUCACCUUUACUUGGUUUUUGCUUCUUGUGUUCUUUCUUUUGCUCUUAAUGCACGAAUCCUGCAGAGCAUUGAAUACAAAAUAGACACCCAGUAGAUCCUUUUGAAUUAAUUGUACUCUGGGGGAAGAAGCAUGAAGGAAGAACGAAAAGCAGAGGGAGGAAGAAGGUGUGAGUAGAGCAGGGGCUCCAGAACACAGGGGAAGGCAGCAGAGUACAGGAGAGGGAGGAGGCCCAGAGAAUCAGCACGCCCUGUGAAGACUUAAUCACAGUGGAUGCUCACGUGCUGUCGAUCUGCUAACAUGGAAGUUGACAGGAAAUUGGCAGCGGCAGGGAGAUGGCCACAGACAAACCUACACUCUUUUGUUCAGUCCUCCCACUGCCUUGUCUUAUUAGCUGCUCCCUCACGGUCUCAAAGUCUGGGAAACUUGGGCUCGUUCCUCAUGCAAAUACUGAUUUAUCAACAGAUUAGCUUAUAUGCAGUUAGAAGGUAAUUACCUGUGCACACCUAAACGGACGAGCCUUCCUUUAUUACCUCUUUUUCUUUGAAUGAAUAAAA
Molecule: long non-coding RNA, 1553 nt
Organism: Prionailurus viverrinus (fishing cat)
Lineage: Eukaryota; Metazoa; Chordata; Mammalia; Carnivora; Felidae
Exons: 4
Source: RefSeq, a predicted model, not a curated record